Long non-coding RNA from Aricia agestis (brown argus), 65 nucleotides. RefSeq lists it as uncharacterized. Lineage: Eukaryota; Metazoa; Arthropoda; Insecta; Lepidoptera; Lycaenidae. The transcript is spliced from 4 exons. The record is from RefSeq and is a predicted model, not a curated record.
ACGCUUUUACUAAAACGGGUCGAAAGUUAAACUAUUAUUCAUUACUUAUAUUAAAACUGUGUUUU